This 492-nucleotide ribosomal RNA is filed under the name uncultured bacterium. RNAcentral describes it as "partial 16S ribosomal RNA". It matches the Rfam family "Bacterial small subunit ribosomal RNA", at positions 29 to 507 of the family's 1533-position model. The record is from RNAcentral.
AGUGAACGCUGGCGGUAGGCCUAACACAUGCAAGUCGAACGGCAGCACCGUACGAGCUUGCUCUUAUGGGUGGCGAGUCGCGGACGUGUGAGGAAUGUAACCGGAUCUACUCUUUGGUGGGGGUUCAGGUAGCUAGGGUUACGCUCAUAUAGCAUACGACCUUCGGGUGUAAGCGGUGGAUCUUCUGACCGUGUGCGGAUGAACGCGCCGAUGUCGGAUUGGCUAGUUGGCGGGGUAAAGGCCCACCAAGGCGACGAUCCGGAGCUGGUCUGAGUGGAUGGGCAGCCACACUGGAAGUGAGACACGGUCCAUACUCCUACGGGAGGGAGCAGGGGGCAAUAGUGGACAAUGGGCGCAAGCCUGAGCCAGCCAGACCGCGGGGGUGAAGAAGGCCUUCGGGUUGUAAAGCCCGGUUGUUGGGUAAGAAAAGCAGUAGGUUAAUAACCCGCUGUGCUGACGGUAACCAAAGAAUAAGCACCGGCUAACUUCGUG